UUGAACGCUGGCGGCAUGCUUUACACAUGCAAGUCGAACGGCAGCGGGGGCUUCGGCCUGCCGGCGAGUGGCGAACGGGUGAGUAAUGCAUCGGAACGUACCCAGUCGUGGGGGAUAACUACGCGAAAGCGUAGCUAAUACCGCAUAAGUCCUGAGGGAGAAAGCGGGGGACCGUAAGGCCUCGCGCGAUUGGAGCGGCCGAUGUUCGAUUAGCUAGUUGGUGGGGUAAAGGCCUACCAAGGCGACGAUCCGUAGCUGGUCUGAGAGGAUGAUCAGCCACACUGGGACUGAGACACGGCCCAGACUCCUACGGGAGGCAGCAGUGGGGAAUUUUGGACAAUGGGCGCAAGCCUGAUCCAGCCAUGCCGCGUGAGUGAAGAAGGCCUUCGGGUUGUAAAGCUCUUUCAGACGGAAAGAAAUCGGGCGCGUGAAUAGCGUGCCUGGAUGACGGUACUGUCAGAAGAAGCACCGGCUAACUACGU
This 482-nucleotide ribosomal RNA is filed under the name uncultured bacterium. RNAcentral describes it as "bacterial SSU rRNA". It matches the Rfam family "Bacterial small subunit ribosomal RNA", at positions 29 to 506 of the family's 1533-position model. The record is from RNAcentral.